GACACUGUUCAACGGCCGCGGUAUCCUAACCGUGCGAAGGUAGCGUAAUCACUUGUUCUUUAAAUAAGGACUAGUAUGAAAGGCAUCACGAGAGUCAUACUGUCUCCUUUCUCUAAUCAGUGAAACUAAUCUUCCCGUGAAGAAGCGGGGAUAAAAAUAUAAGACGAGAAGACCCUAUGGAGCUUCAAACAAAUAACACUUGCCCCAGACCCCUAAUUUCAGAAAAAUUUUCUACCCCGGCAUCAUGAUUAUUAGUUUUCGGUUGGGGUGACCACGGAAUAAAAAACAACCUCCGCAAUGAAAGACACUCAUCUACUUAAUCAAGGGCCACAACCCCACACAUCAACAAAUUGACACUAAUUGACCCAACAUGUUGAUCAAUGAACCAAGUUACCCUAGGGAUAACAGCGCAAUCCACUUCAAGAGCUCCUAUCGACAAGUGGGUUUACGACCUCGAUGUUGGAUCAGGGUGUCCCAGUGGUGCAGCCGCUACUAAAGGUUCGUUUGUUCAACGAUUAAAACCCUACGUGAUCUGAGUGGAGAC
Molecule: ribosomal RNA, 544 nt
Filed under: Adenomera marmorata
Lineage: Eukaryota; Metazoa; Chordata; Amphibia; Anura; Leptodactylidae
Description: partial large subunit ribosomal RNA
Rfam family: Bacterial large subunit ribosomal RNA
Source: RNAcentral